UUUUCCAUACCUUAAAACUUGGGUAGUAGAUGCAUCAAACUAGAUUUUAGCUCAAAACGAACAUCCAAGUCUGGGCAGGAGAUGCAGAGGAGUUGCUGGUUUGUGGGUGGAGCUGCCAACUCCCUCAAUGUGCAUUCUUAUUUCAUGUUUUGUAUUUCGGGUGUAGCGGAUAAAGUGUUGCCUUGAUGUGUCUGCCUUCAUUUUCUUGUAUGUUUUCUUAGACUUUUGGCAGUAUUUUCAAUCUCCAGAUCAUAAAGAAGUGGUCCUCUACGAUUGG
RNAcentral lists this long non-coding RNA (277 nucleotides) under Carica papaya (papaya). RNAcentral's name for it is "long non-coding RNA (CPAP_LNC016041)". The record is from RNAcentral. Lineage: Eukaryota; Viridiplantae; Streptophyta; Magnoliopsida; Brassicales; Caricaceae.